RNAcentral lists this ribosomal RNA (274 nucleotides) under uncultured bacterium. RNAcentral describes it as "partial 16S ribosomal RNA". It matches the Rfam family "Bacterial small subunit ribosomal RNA", at positions 523 to 796 of the family's 1533-position model. The record is from RNAcentral.
AUACGGAGGGUGCGAGCGUUAAUCGGAAUUACUGGGCGUAAAGCGCGCGUAGGCGGUUUAGUAAGUCGGAUGUGAAAGCCCUGGGCUCAACCUGGGAAUUGCAUUCGAUACUGCUGGACUAGAGUAUGGUAGAGGGAAGUGGAAUUUCCGGUGUAGCGGUGAAAUGCGUAGAUAUCGGAAGGAACACCAGUGGCGAAGGCGACUUCCUGGGCCAAUACUGACGCUGAGGUGCGAAAGCGUGGGGAGCAAACAGGAUUAGAUACCCCGGUAGUCC